Molecule: long non-coding RNA, 998 nt
Organism: Magnolia sinica
Lineage: Eukaryota; Viridiplantae; Streptophyta; Magnoliopsida; Magnoliales; Magnoliaceae
Exons: 3
Source: RefSeq, a predicted model, not a curated record
UUGUCAAAAGCUAUGGAUGAAGGCUUUUAGUCAUUCAUCUUGAAUGACAUACAAACAUUCAGCAAGCAAUUGGGAGAAGGAAUGAAUAAGUGCAGAGAUCCCCUAUCAUUUUCUAUCAAACAAGAAUGAAGAUUAGUCUAGGUUUAAUAGCAAGCAAUUGGGAUCCAUUUUAGAAAAAUCUUAUUAGCCUAAUCACAUUCUCUAAUUCCUCUUAAUUCUAAGGCUAAUUGCGGCUUGGGUUUAAUACAAAUUGCAGGCCCAAAUCCGCUCUUUGGAUCUUUAAAAUCAUCAGUUUUGAUCUUGGGAAGAUCAAGUGAUACAUGGAUUGGAGGAGAAGGAAUGCUCCAUGCCAUAUACUUUAAGAAAGAGAAUCAAGGAAAGUGGACCUUGUCCUACAAGAACAGAUACGUUGAAUCAGAGAUGUACAAGCUUGAGAAAGAGAGGAAGAGGCCCUCUUUUCUUCCUGCAAUUGAAGGGGAUUCUCCAGCAAUCCUAGUUGCUUAUUUACUAAAUCAGGUAAAAGAUACAGUAGAAGUGGAUUUUUUAUCUCCUUCUCAUGAUUCCAAGAAUAUCUUCUCUUCUUGAGGUGAAUGUGUAUCAUGUUUGGAGCUAAAAUGCAAACCACAUUUUUGGAGGCAAGUGGCUAUCUAUGAAAUAUAGAGCACGGCUGAUGGUAUGUUUAUCUUUUCGGUAUGCUUCGCUUAUCCUAUGACUUUAAUUCUAAUUAGGUGCUUGUGGAUUGUGUAUUUUACUAACUGUUUGUUGUUUUGAUCAAUCUGCACUUUUUUCUUGUUUUCUAUUCUCUUCCUUUGUAUAUUUUCUCAUGCUCGUUUUGGGCUUCUGCAUUUUGGAUUGUGUAUUUUUUAUAUUUUUUCUUGUUUUUUAUUCUCUUCCUUUGUAUAUUUUGUAGAUUUUACAAACUGUCGGUGGCUGUUAUUCCUUUGGUGUAUGUCUUUGGAUUCAUGAAGUUAGCGAGUUGACACUAUAAGAAAACUGGA